Molecule: ribosomal RNA, 852 nt
Filed under: Polypedates leucomystax (Java whipping frog)
Lineage: Eukaryota; Metazoa; Chordata; Amphibia; Anura; Rhacophoridae
Description: partial 16S ribosomal RNA
Rfam family: Bacterial large subunit ribosomal RNA
Source: RNAcentral
CCAAAAUACCAUUAAUUUUCAUGAACCCCUAAUCUAUAAUGAAUGACUCCAUAUUUAUAUGGAAGACACCAUGCUAGGAUUAGUAACAAGAAUUUAUAAUUCUCCAAAAUGCAAAUAUAAACCAACAUGGAUGGACCAUUGGUAGUUACCGAACCUAAAUUCAAUGCAACAACACCUACAAGAAAACUCUGCAGUACUUACUCGUUAACCUAACACCAGCGCAUUACAGGAAAGAUUUAAAAAAAGAGAAGGAAUUCGGCAAAUGACGGCCCCGCCUGUUUACCAAAAACAUCGCCUCUUGACUUAUAAUAAGAGGUCCAGCCUGCCCAGUGAAUUUUAAACGGCCGCGGUAUCCUAACCGCGCGAAGGUAGCAUAAUCACUUGUUCUUUAAAUGGGGACUCGUAUCAACGGCAUCACGAGGGUUUUACUGUCUCCUCUUUUUGAUCAGUGAAAUUGAUCUUCCCGUGAAGAAGCGGGAAUAAAUUUAUAAGACGAGAAGACCCCAUGGAGCUUUAAACCAAAUAACAACUUAACCACUUAUCCCAUAAUAAAUUUAAGCCCUGUUAUAAGGUUUUUGGUUGGGGUGACCGCGGAGUAAAACACAUCCUCCACGACGAAAAAAACAGAAUUUUUAUUUAAGAACCACACUUCUAGAAAUUAGUAUACUAACGUUUACUGACCCGACAAUCGAUCAACGGACCAAGUUACCCUGGGGAUAACAGCGCAAUCUACUUCAAGAGCUCAUAUCGACAAGUAGGCUUACGACCUCGAUGUUGGAUCAGGGUAUCCCGGUGGUGCAGCCGCUACCGAAGGUUCGUUUGUUCAACGAUUAAAACCCUACGUGAUCUGAU